Molecule: non-coding RNA, 135 nt
Organism: Sordaria macrospora k-hell
Lineage: Eukaryota; Fungi; Ascomycota; Sordariomycetes; Sordariales; Sordariaceae
Source: the annotation of a RefSeq genome assembly
GCGCGGUUGGCGUAGUAGUCAACGCGUUCGCUCAGUAAAUGGCACUUCGAACGCCCACAGUGUCCGCUGUCAGUCCCCUUCGGGGGGUGUGCCACUGAUUGUGGAAGUUCCCGGGUUCGAAUCCCGAACCGCGCA